This 79-nucleotide ribosomal RNA is filed under the name Escherichia coli. Its description in RNAcentral is "partial 16S ribosomal RNA". It matches the Rfam family "Bacterial small subunit ribosomal RNA", at positions 1 to 77 of the family's 1533-position model. The record is from RNAcentral. Lineage: Bacteria; Pseudomonadati; Pseudomonadota; Gammaproteobacteria; Enterobacterales; Enterobacteriaceae.
UUAAAUUGAAGAGUUUGAUCAUGGCUCAGGUUGAACGCUGGCGGCAGGCCUAACACAUGCAAGUCGAACGGUAACAGGA